Molecule: long non-coding RNA, 1644 nt
Organism: Strigops habroptila (Kakapo)
Lineage: Eukaryota; Metazoa; Chordata; Aves; Psittaciformes; Psittacidae
Source: Ensembl
CUUCAGCAAGCAGGAUGAAGGCAUCUACACCUGCCUCGCUGUCAACGACGUGGGAACACGGGAUGUCUCGGUCAACGUGGCCUUGGCUGGGUCAGAGAAUCCAGCUGAAGAUCUGCUCCGAGAUGACCCCCACGCUGGCCACCUUGGGGACCGGAGCUGCUAUAAGGGGGACGAGAUAGAUCCUUCUGGUACUGGAGAAAAGCUGGUGAUCGUUUACCACAUACCAAGGGAGUCCAAGAGCAGGGCUGGAGGAGCAGUGCCCCAGGUCCAGCUGGGGACGCUCCUGCUGGCUUUGGGCAUCGCACUCUGUUGUUAAAGGGGGGAGAAGGAAACGGUGCCACGGGGGUCCCCCUCUUUCUGUAGCAUUUAUCUUCAUGUAGUGCCAUGCCUUUGCUGAGCUUCUGGGAACUGUGGGCGGUCAGGAGUGAAAGGGGGCCAAGACUCAGGCCCAGGGUUGGUAGUUCAACCCCUCCUUAGAUGGGGGGUCAGGGCUGGGCUUUGUUAGUUGAGAGCUUCAAACAAGCUCGGGUGAUGUAGAGCAGAUCUGCAUUGUGCUGCUGCUUUCAGGGGUCCAAACCUGCCACCUCCUGACUUAUCUCCCUCCUGAGACCAAAGCAGGAUUAAAGUCCAUUGUCAACAGGGUGACCAUCACCCAUCCCCAGAGCCUACCUCCACCUGCAGCAGCAAGCUCUGACCAGGGAGGGCAUCUCUGGUCCAGCAGCACCAAAGAUGACACUCCUGCUGUGACCGGUGCCCGGGCCCUUGGCCGGCCAGGCGCAUCCUUCCUACCACCAACCUCACAUGAAGCACCAGGAAGAGCAGGACCAGUCUUAGAGUAGGGGAAUAGCAUGGACAUGGGAUCCUGGGGGCCCAGGGGACAUGGAUCUGAGGGACAGAGGUAUGGUGGUGCUUUGUAGGCAGGAGGGGUAUGGCAGGACACGCUGGAUGGGCCUGUGGGCUUGGAUCAGGCCAUUGUAUGGAGCAGAAGAAGCUGUCCCACAGGCUUCAAUCCUUCAGGAGCACAAAGGGCACCCACUGGCUGGGUGCUGGGAGCACCCAGGGUGCCUGCACCCUUCCUGCAUGUCGCAGGAUCAGGCCCUGCCGCCCUCAGUACCUUUCCCAGAUGCAGCUCAUUUCCUCCCUCCCCUUUGCCUUUCACUGCUGAAGCCUGUGGUCCAAACUGCUGGUCUGGGCUGGACCCACCGAGCUGACCUGCUCCAGCUCUGACCCCAGCAGGGAGGGAUGGAGCUCAAAGAGAUGAAAACAAUGUCCCAGCGCUCCUCUUUGAUGGCAAACCAAGCAGGGGCUGCAUGAUGGAAUGGGAGGAAGAAAGAUUGGGAAAACCCAGAUGAGAGAGACAGAAACUGAGCUGACCUAUAAGGCAUAAACAAACUCCUUAAGUGCUUUAGCAUUCCCACACGGGACAUAUAUACCAUACCCGGCUGCCUAGGGUGCUGGGGAACCCCUUGUCUCCUGGUGGGGGGGCUAAGCAUAUCCAUCUCCCCUACCCUGAGGUAUAGGUGACCCAGCUCUUGUGUCUUCUGCCAGUGCUCGCCUGCGGGAGCUGGAUGGACCCCUGCAGCCCCCUUGCCUUGUAACCAAAGCUGUAUGGACAGCAAUAAAUACUGAUUGUUGUUUUCUAAA